UUAAAAUUUGUCUUUGGCAUAUUUGUGUGUC
This 31-nucleotide non-coding RNA is filed under the name Mus musculus (house mouse). Lineage: Eukaryota; Metazoa; Chordata; Mammalia; Rodentia; Muridae. The record is from RNAcentral.